Molecule: ribosomal RNA, 357 nt
Filed under: Clostridioides difficile
Lineage: Bacteria; Bacillati; Bacillota; Clostridia; Peptostreptococcales; Peptostreptococcaceae
Description: bacterial LSU rRNA
Rfam family: Bacterial large subunit ribosomal RNA
Source: RNAcentral
GGGCAAGGUAAUGAAGGGUGAGGGCAGGAGCCUUGGGACUAGGAGGCGAUGAAGGACGUGAUAAAGUGCGAUAAGCUUCGGGGAGUUGAACGUAAACUUUGAUCCGAAGAUUUCCGAAUGAGGAAACUAACUUAGAGUAAUGUCUAAGUAUCAUUAAGUGAAUACAUAGCUUAAUGAGGGGAACUCAGGGAACUGAAACAUCUAAGUACCUGAAGGAAGAGAAAGAAAUUCGAUUCAGUAAGUAGUGGCGAGCGAACGCUGAUUAGCCCAAACUAAUAAAGUUUUCUUUAUUGGGGUUGCGGACAUAGCAUAACGAAGAGGUAUCGUAAUUGAAGAGGUGUGGAAAGACCAACCACA